This 827-nucleotide ribosomal RNA is filed under the name Talaromyces islandicus. RNAcentral describes it as "partial large subunit ribosomal RNA". It matches the Rfam family "Eukaryotic large subunit ribosomal RNA", at positions 76 to 919 of the family's 3401-position model. Lineage: Eukaryota; Fungi; Ascomycota; Eurotiomycetes; Eurotiales; Trichocomaceae. The record is from RNAcentral.
UGCCUCAGUAACGGCGAGUGAAGCGGCAAGAGCUCAAAUUUGAAAUCUGGCUCCUUCGGGGCCCGAGUUGUAAUUUGGAGAGGAUGCUUCGGGCGUGGCCCCCAUCUAAGUGCCCUGGAACGGGCCGUCAUAGAGGGUGAGAAUCCCGUCUGGGAUGGGUGGUCCCGCCCGUGUGAAGCUCCUUCGAAGAGUCGAGUUGUUUGGGAAUGCAGCUCUAAGAGGGUGGUAAAUUUCAUCUAAAGCUAAAUAUUGGCCGGAGACCGAUAGCGCACAAGUAGAGUGAUCGAAAGAUGAAAAGCACUUUGAAAAGAGAGUUAAACAGCACGUGAAAUUGUUGAAAGGGAAGCGUUGGCAACCAGACUCGCCCGGGGGGGCUCAGCCGGCACGUGUGCCGGUGCACUCCCCCCCGGGCGGGCCAGCGUCGGUUUGGGCGGUCGGUCAAAGGCCCCGGGAAUGUAGCACCCUCCGGGGUGCCUUAUAGCCCGAGGCGCCAUGCGACCUGCCCGGACCGAGGAACGCGCUCCGGCUCGGACGCUGGCGUAAUGGUUGUCAACGGCCCGUCUUGAAACACGGACCAAGGAGUCUAACAUCUAUGCGAGUGUUCGGGUGUCAAACCCGUCCGCGCAGUGAAAGCGAACGGAGGUGGGAACCCUCUCGGGGGUGCACCAUCGACCGAUCCUGAUGUCUUCGGAUGGAUUUGAGUAAGAGCAUAGCUGUUGGGACCCGAAAGAUGGUGAACUAUGCCUGAAUAGGGCGAAGCCAGAGGAAACUCUGGUGGAGGCUCGCAGCGGUUCUGACGUGCAAAUCGAUCGUCAAAUUUGGGUAUA